Molecule: long non-coding RNA, 323 nt
Filed under: Mus musculus (house mouse)
Lineage: Eukaryota; Metazoa; Chordata; Mammalia; Rodentia; Muridae
Description: long non-coding RNA chr14:60399136-60399459
Source: RNAcentral
AGUGAGAUCCGGGAGGGGCUGCCUGCCAGGCCAUGCUGAGGAGAAUAAAUCAGCAUGGCUGACUGUGAAAGAAGAGUAAAGCUGAAAGUAGGCUACUGCACUCGGCAGAUCCGGAAAAAUCAAGGGGUAGAAUCCUAAUUGCUGAGGCCUGGGAAGUUAGGUGCAUGAUGAGAAAGGACAUGCGCAGAGCGUGCUGUAGAACACUGGAAGGAAAGGAUGGAGGGCUAGUCUUCUGGAAGAAGGAUCGCCUUCCCUCCCAUUUCUCUUUCUUUCCCUUCCUCCCCUCCUAAAUUCAUACUUUGAAGAUAAAGGUAACACUGAGC